GACGAACGCUGGCGGCGUGCUUAACACAUGCAAGUCGAACGGUGAAGCGCCUUCCUUUUUGGUGGGUGUGGAUGAGUGGCGAACGGGUGAGUAACACGUGAGUAACCUGCCCCCUUCUUCUGGAUAACCGCAUGAAAGUGUGGCUAAUACGGGAUAUUCUGGGUCUGUCGCAUGAUGGGUUUGGGAAAGAUAUUGUUUCGGUGGGGGCUGGGCUCGCGGCCUAUCAGCUUGUUGGUGGGGUGAUGGCCUACCAAGGCGGGGACGGGUAGCCGGCCUGAGAGGGUGGACGGUCACACUGGGACGGAGACACGGCCCAGACUCCUACGGGAGGCAGCAGUGGGGAAUAUUGCACAAUGGGGGCAACCCUGAUGCAGCGACGCCGCGUGAGGGAUGGAGGCCUGCGGGUUGUGAACCUCUUUCGCCAGUGAAGCAGGCCUGCCUCGUUUGUGGGUGGGUUGACGGUAGCUGGAGAAGAAGCGCCGGCUAACUACGUG
Molecule: ribosomal RNA, 494 nt
Filed under: uncultured bacterium
Lineage: Bacteria
Description: partial 16S ribosomal RNA
Rfam family: Bacterial small subunit ribosomal RNA
Source: RNAcentral